GCCGCCGAGGUUGGACCUAGCCUGGUGUUUGUCACCCCGGAGCUGUGGGUUCGAUCCCCACCGGCGGCU
Molecule: transfer RNA, 69 nt
Filed under: Gammaproteobacteria bacterium
Lineage: Bacteria; Pseudomonadati; Pseudomonadota; Gammaproteobacteria
Description: tRNA-OTHER
Source: RNAcentral